GUCCGUGCCCGUCCACCCAACGGCCGGCAGGCGAUCCGCGUCGGUCGCGCGAGGCGGCUUAUGUAUGGUUUCCCAGAGGCUGGUUCUUGUGCUGCCUACCCCUUCAGGGGAAGCGCAGGCCACUCGAUGUAAGCCUCCAUCCGGCGCCUUCGAAAGGGCGCCGGAGGACAGCGGAGCACCCCCCGCGUUCCACCGAGCCCCCGUCGGUCGCGUGGCACGCGGGGACGUGCGAUGCUCUCGGACCCAGCGCACGCCGUGGGCGAGGACUCACGUCCCAGUCCCAAGAGAAGCUCCGAUGGAAUGCAUGACGGCCGCCCCCGCCCCCGACCGUCCCGGCGGUUCGUUGGCGUGGCGCGGCGUCGCGGAGGAAUGC
This 373-nucleotide unclassified non-coding RNA is filed under the name Acacia inaequiloba. RNAcentral's name for it is "partial external transcribed spacer". Lineage: Eukaryota; Viridiplantae; Streptophyta; Magnoliopsida; Fabales; Fabaceae. The record is from RNAcentral.